Molecule: long non-coding RNA, 4137 nt
Organism: Syngnathus typhle (broad-nosed pipefish)
Lineage: Eukaryota; Metazoa; Chordata; Actinopteri; Syngnathiformes; Syngnathidae
Exons: 2
Source: RefSeq, a predicted model, not a curated record
UCCAUCUGGAAAGGUCAAGGCGCACCCAUAUUAGAAACAGUAUUCAUCAAAUCAGAGCCAUUAUGUCAUUUUUGGUCUUGCAAAAUUCUGUGAGGAAAUGCUGUCUGCAUAAAAAGGUUUGAAAUUGCCUACAGGUGCCACAAGAGGUUGGCAAUCCAUUUGUUUUCCAAUCGAGAAAGGUACUGUAUGACCAAACUUCACGGACCCCCGUGACAAACAAAAUAAUGUUUUGGCACAAAGAUGAACCAAAUGGUCCCAAAGCAGUUCGAGGUGCAACGAUUGCAACUAUUUUGAUGAUCCAUGACUCGUUUAGCAACAAUUUUAACGUCAUACGGUCGCAAUUUCAGCCUCUCAACAGUACAUAUUGUCCGGGUUGUCUGGUCCUCCAUAAAAGCAGACUGAUUAUAUUUGUGUUUCAGCAAAAUAAGACAUUUGCAAACAUCUGCUUCUACUUUGGAAAACAAUGACGAACAUUUUGUUUUCCAAUUUUCUAUAUAUCAUUAUUUUGUUUGGGACAAAACAUUCAUUUCAUCAUGUUGUUUUGUCUAUAACUAUACUUUUUUAAAACGAUUGUUUCUGAUAUUCUGGUUAGAUGAUUUAGCAAAAUAAAAGCUUCAAAGUAUGUGGAACAAUACAUAGUAACAUUAACAGCAUUAUCUGUACCAAACUAGAGUAGACAAGUACAUCUGCUAUGUUGGUUUAUUUUUUCUAUAGCUACAUGAAAGCAUCAAAACAUUAUAAGAAGCACUUCUGAAAAAGCUACAUCAUAGUGUCGUUAAGCUUGUUUUAAUAAUACAUUUUGUGACCAAAUGUUGCCAUCGCCGUGGAUUGUUAUCUAGAACAACAAAUUGACCGUUUUUGAUAUUUUGGUUCUAACAUAAAGGCUGAACGCAUUGAUGUUUUUUAUCAUUGUAUCGUAUCGCCACUUUGGUUUGGGAAACAAAUUGAACAUUGUCAUGGAUCAUUUUCUCGAAUAGCACGUUUUGUAUCAAGUCUUGUGAUUGUGGUAUGGUGCUUAUCUUGUUUAGCAACACGAAAGGAUGAAACAUUAGACAGACUUUUGAGUGGCAGCAAAGACGAUGAUGCAGCUUUUGACAGCAGCUUCUUGGAAUUGAAUUGCUUUACGCUUUGUGCACGCUCUCCUAUACAACAUUCAAAUUUACAUUUUUGGACUUCGGACGACCGUGGGCUCUGCUCAAGCCCGAACCCGCCAGGCUUCAUCCUCACAGCCAGGACAAGAAAUACAAAUGAGCCCGAAAAGAAAAAGGUGGACGUGUACCUAAAAGAGGCAAAAGAAGACAGAAUCCAGCGAGCAUCAUCCUCUCCUCACGCUUGACGAUAAACAGCUUCGUUGGAAGAAAAUGCGCAAAGUUGGGCUCACUUUAAAUCCACGGGAAGGAAUUCCAUUGCCACGCCAACAAAAGCAACAAGAAAAUUAAUUCCCUUUUGACGCGUUGGAAACAAGUCCGGCUGGAAAAGCUUUGUGAGUUCAAUUGUGCUCGUCCGGCGGGAUGCUCGCGUCUGCCCGAGUGGCGCAUUGAGCAGCAAGCAGCAAGAGCGCACCAGCUUCCCCCUCAAGUGCGCGACCACCAAUGCAUGCAGCGCACACAAGAACAAGAACAAUAAGAAGGAUGUUCAAGAGAAACAGCAGCCUGAGAACGCCGUGACCGUGUUACGAGCACACGUACAUAUUUAUCUUUAUUGAGCACCGCGGUCCCAGCGCGCGCGUAAUGAAAAUAACCCGGUGAUCUGUUUGCCCCCAACCCUUUUCAAAGUAUAAUUUCUGCACUCGAAAGGAUCGUUCGGAGCAUUUCAACAAGUUUAAUCUGCAGCACAGAUCUCAUUUGCACGUCUAUUCAAACAAAAACUAAACACACAGCAGAGUUAUAUUUGUGAAAAGUCUUGCAAGUUGCAAUGCUAUUUCGGUAGCCAUUGGACAUCUGUCAGAGACAUGUUGAUUAUAUUACAAACCAUCAAGGCACGCACGCACACACACACACACCACACAUACACACACGCACACACACACACACACACACACACACACACACACACACACACACACACACGCACGCACACUGAAGACAUCCUAUCCUUCACAUGAUAUAGGAUGGAUAACAAGGUCAAAUAUACGUAUGCAUAUGGAAUAUAAGGACUGCACAAUAAACGCGUCCAAAGGGGUUCGUAACAUGGUGGAGACUGGCGCCAUCUGUCCAGUAUUUUAGGUAAAGCACACAGACGAGACCUCAUCGUGUCUAUUCAUUCAUAGGCGAGGUUAAAAAAACGAAUGAAUGUGAUACGUACGAAAGAACAAUGAAUAAGAUCAUAAAAAAAUAAAAUAACGCAAAGGCAUUUAAAUUUCGAAUUGAAAUAUCCAACUAUCUACUAGUCCAGGGGCUUUCAACUGGUUUUGUCCAAGGGACCACCAUUACAACCAAGAAGCAACUCGGGGACCACUACUUUGGCGAAAUAUUAUUUUAUUUUGCGCCGAAGGAGGAUAGACCUAUACAGGCUAUUUAUUUGCAUCUGUAUGUUUAUUUUGGGAGUCUCAGCUACAUUUGGCAUAAUUUGGAUGGGUAAAUGAUCCAUAAAAUUAACUGGAAAAUAAAUAAUGUUUAAAUAAUAAAUAAAUCCUAUUUAAAAAUUUAAUACAAUUAUUUUCUAUUUUCAGUUUCGCGGACCAGCUGCAAUACCGCCACGGACCACUAAAGGGCCGCGGACCGAUUGCCAAAACCUGAACUAGUCGAUGAUAAACGUACAUAUAUAUGCGUAAAAUAUGUACAAAUAUGACCUUUUUUUUAUUAGUUCUAGUACACUUAAUAAUUUGUGAUUUAAAAGGUCAUAAAUUGAUAAAAUAUUCUAAAUUACCGUUUUUUUCCAUGCAUAAUGCGCAAAAUUUAACUAAUUUAUUGUCCUAAAAUCUGGGGUGCGCAUUAUACAUGGGUAAAUUUUUUUUUUUUGAAGAAGAAGAAAAUCAUGGUACAACGAUUUUUAAAGAAAAUCUUGUCACGGAUGGAGUGUGGAAAGGAGCGGGGCAACCAAGUGCAGCUUGGACCAGGGUUUAUUGGAGGAACUCAAAACACAGACUUGGUAAACUAAUUGUGAUAACUGGAACAUCACUCAAAUAUUGGUGAUCCCGUUGAGAGUCUCACAUAUUUCUUCGCUACUGCAUGCGCAGUGAUACUGACCGGCAGAAUAACAUCCGGUUGUUCCCAAAGAUGAUCUUUUUUCUGAAAUAAUUUUACGUUUAUGGACUUAAGUAACCCGGCGUGUUUAAGAACACGCAAUGAAUUUGUGCUGGGUGGGUGUCAAAUAGUGCCCCAAGUAACAAUACCAAUAAUCCUCACAUGAAGUUGUGGAACACAUUCAUGAUUCAUGAUAGGCUCAGUGGCCUACUGGUAGUGUCCCCCCGAGACUGGAAGGUUGUUAGUUCAAACCCCGGCGGGGUCAUACCAAAGACUAUAAAAAUGGGACCCAUUGCCUCCCUGCUUGGCACUCAGCAUUAAGGGUUGGAAUUGGGGGGUUAGAUCACCAAAUGAUUCCCGAGCGCGGCGCCGCUGCUGCUCACUGCUCCCCUCUCCCCCAGGGGAUGGAUCAAAAUCACACUGGGAUGGCUCAAAUGCAGAGGACAAAUUUCACCACACCCAGAUGCGUGUGUGACGAUCAUUGGGACUUUAAAAAAAAAAAAGGCAAAAUUUGGGUGCGUAUUAUACAUGGGUACAGGCUUUUUCCCAGCAUCGACAUGCCAUUUUUAGGGUGCGUAUUAUACAUGGGGGCGCAUUAUACAUGGAAAAAAAUGGUAAUGCAAAUAUGACAUGACUCUUGGAUGUUAUUUCUUGUCAGGCGAUUGCCCACCAUUUAUUCAUAUAGUGGUAAGAGAAAGCCUAAUUGUAUCAGAUGCUGAGACAGAUAUAAUGCUGCUGUUCAGGUGCAGUGAUUUGUUUGACAUGAGAGGAGCGCAAAUGUACCUAAUAGAAGUUGAGAAACCUUCAUUUAUGGUAUUAAGGUCACGCCCACCUGAAAUGUGAUAUGUUGAGCGUUUGUUAGUUCUAUUUCCUCUCUCCAUCCCAACCGAUGAUGCAACAAACGCAUGUUUACAUAGUUCCAAAUAAAGUGGCUAAGAAGAGCCCAAAAGAA